Molecule: unclassified non-coding RNA, 1944 nt
Filed under: Hevea brasiliensis (rubber tree)
Lineage: Eukaryota; Viridiplantae; Streptophyta; Magnoliopsida; Malpighiales; Euphorbiaceae
Source: RNAcentral
AACCUAAUUUCACACAGUAAUUGAUACAUGGAGUGCUGGUUGGAGCAACGAACACACUUCCUACUUAUUACUAGUGGAAAAGGGAAGGGUUAGAGACCAUUACAAAGACUUAAAGUCACAAAGACAACUAAGAAAUAGACGGACACUAAUAUGUCAAUAAAUCACAAGGGCCCUUUGUGUCAAGGCCUACAGGCAACUGUAAUCAAUAAAUAGCAUAUGUCAAAUAGGCCAUUUGUUUGUUAUUUCAUCUGCCUACUCUUCUUCAUCAUAAUCUUCUUCCUCUUCUGCUACACUUGUAUUCAGUUGUGACAUAUGAGCAGGGUCAAUGACCAUUCUGUCCAUUUCGAGGGACCACUGAGGGCCUUCCUCUGCUUUCUCGUUCACAGGCCUUGGUGAUGGAUUGCAGGGUGCUAUUUCCGGUGCAGCUGGUUUAUCAGUAUUAUCAUCUACAUUGACCUUCAGAUUAGGAGUUGUUACAACUGAGUUUUCUUUGUCACAAACAGUGGAAUCCUGUGUAGGUGAUUCUUUCGGUUCUGAGCAGUUCUCUGUCUGAGUUCCAGGAUUUGGAUUUUGUUGAACACUCUGCUGAGCAGAAGUGCAGGAUUCAAGUUGCAUAUCAGGUCGUGAGAGCUCCUUAUCAGCACGGCUUACCCGACCACGACCUCUUCCUCUACCCCUACCUCUUCCCCUACCACUACUGCCAACAGGAGACAUCUCCGUCCUGCUCUUUUUGUAUUCAUCCUCACUGUCAUGAUGUUCUUCUAUAGCAACUUUCCUUCUUUUUGGCAUUUCACCAGCAGCAUCAGAAUGGCCAUAAUCAGGAACCUUGCUGACCACUUCCCGAAGAAAGUCAAACACGUUGUAGCUUUGUACACAGUGUUUUAUGUUCACACUCACAAACAAGGAUUUUUACAUCAUAUUAGCUGCUUAUGCAAUUACGUGUGGUCCCCUCUCAUAGGUUGCAUAAGGGUUUCCAGACACAGGCUUAAGGUUUUGGGUUGGACUGCUUGAUCAAUGUGACAAAAUCUGAGCAUCCAACCAAAACAUUAAGGUGAUGGAUGGAUAAAAAGAAAGUCUUCAAUCCACAUGAAAACCCUAGAACUGGUCACACAUGCAAGAGAGUAUUGGAGAAUACACUUGGUCCUCACUGGUCAUAUAAGGGUUGAAAAAGGGAUUCAUAAUGUCCUAGGCCACUUCACCUAUUGCUUAAGGUUUUGGGUUGGUAGCUCAGGUUCUUUCAAACAUAAGAUACCGCAUCAUGCUAAGAGGAAGCCAUGAUACUCCAAUAACGUUUAAAAGAAGUCAUGAUUUUUAGAUCCAUCUCAGUUGGCAUGCAGUAGAAAUUGGCACACUUGGAGAGAGCAUGUUAGAAAUGCAGAACAAUUCAACCAUUUAGCUGAACAAGUUCCCAAUAAUAGAAACAGAUUUAAAGAAAGAGUAGCACUACAAGAACAGAUAGUUACAAAGAAAAGAAUCGAAAAGACUGAAGCGUUUUUACCAAAAGUGCCACACAUGACACAACUAUGAAGACUAAGGUCCUCUUAUCAAUCAAAUGUGCUAAAAUAACAAUGGCACUGAGAUGAAGCACCAAGUGCAGUGAAUUAACAGUCUUUGCUCCUCUUCUAAGAGUUAUGUCAUAUGUCCGGUCACAAAGGUCUUGUAAAAAUAACUCCAAGGCUUUUGACACUAGAACAGGCACAGCCAUUGCAAUCUUACCGACAUCCUCAUCGGCUUGCAUAAUUUUCUUGAUCCGGGCCGCAGGAAAGCGAGUAUCAAGUUUCUUCCUCAUGAUAAAUCAGAUUCUGUCCAUUCAAAAAUAGAGAGAAUCUAAGGAUAUAAAAUACUAAAUUAGAGAAUCUAGUGAACAAAUUUCUUUCUGAAAUUGGAAGAAUCAGAAGAAGACAAUCAUUGUUCGAAGUGAGAUAGAGAGAGAGGAGAAGAUUU